CGAACGUUAGCGGCGGGCCUAACACAUGCAAGUCGAACGAGAACGCUCCUUCGGGAGUUAUUAAAGUGGCGCACGGGUGAGGAACGCGUAGGUAAUCUACCCUUUGGCGGGGGACAACAUUCCGAAAGGAAUGCUAAUACCGCGUAAGACCACGCUCACUACGGUGAAAGCGGUUAAAGGUGCCUCAAAGCACCACCAGAGGAUGAGCCUGCGUCCCAUCAGCUUGUUGGUAAGGUAAUGGCUUACCAAGGCGAAGACGGGUAGCUGGUCUGAGAGGAUGAUCAGCCACACUGGCACUGGAACACGGGCCAGACUCCUACGGGAGGCAGCAGUGAGGAAUAUUGGGCAAUGGGCGAAAGCCUGACCCAGCCACGCCGCGUGUGUGAUGAAGGCCUUCGGGUCGUAAAGCACUGUGGGGAGAGACGAAACAGCGCGCCAGGAAAUGGGUGCGCCUUGACGGUACCUCCUUAGCAAGCACCGGCUAACUCU
RNAcentral lists this ribosomal RNA (489 nucleotides) under uncultured bacterium. Its description in RNAcentral is "bacterial SSU rRNA". It matches the Rfam family "Bacterial small subunit ribosomal RNA", at positions 30 to 504 of the family's 1533-position model. The record is from RNAcentral.